CGGGAAUAGCUCAAAUUUGAAAUCUCCCUUUGCGGGGCGAAUUGUAGUUUAGAGAAGUGUUUUCUGGGGUAGCUCAGGCAUAGGUCCUUUGGAAAGAGGCGUCAUAGAGGGUGAGAACCCCGUCUGUGGCCUGAAGCCUACUCCUCUGUGAUACACUUUC
RNAcentral lists this ribosomal RNA (160 nucleotides) under Nowakowskiella sp. RNAcentral's name for it is "partial large subunit ribosomal RNA". It matches the Rfam family "Eukaryotic large subunit ribosomal RNA", at positions 99 to 258 of the family's 3401-position model. Lineage: Eukaryota; Fungi; Chytridiomycota; Chytridiomycetes; Cladochytriales; Nowakowskiellaceae. The record is from RNAcentral.